This 467-nucleotide ribosomal RNA is filed under the name uncultured bacterium. RNAcentral describes it as "bacterial SSU rRNA". It matches the Rfam family "Bacterial small subunit ribosomal RNA", at positions 355 to 825 of the family's 1533-position model. The record is from RNAcentral.
UAGGGAAUAUUGGGCAAUGGAGGGAACUCUGACCCAGCCAUGCCGCGUGCAGGAUGAAGGCGUUAUGCGUUGUAAACUGCUUUUUAUAUAGGAAGAAAUAGUCCUUGCGAGGAAAGUUGGCGGUACUAUAUGAAUAAGCACCGGCUAACUCCGUGCCAGCAGCCGCGGUAAUACGGAGGGUGCAAGCGUUGUCCGGAUUUAUUGGGUUUAAAGGGUGCGUAGGCGGUUUAUUAAGUCAGUGGUGAAAGACGGUCGCUCAACGAUUGCAGUGCCAUUGAUACUGGUAGACUUGAGUAUGAUUGAGGUAGCUGGAAUGGAUAGUGUAGCGGUGAAAUGCAUAGAUAUUAUCCAGAACACCAAUUGCGUAGGCAAGUUACUAAGUCAUAACUGACGCUGAGGCACGAAAGUGUGGGUAUCGAACAGGAUUAGAUACCCAUGUAGUCCCUGAGCGGGCUGGCAAGGCGCAU